RNAcentral lists this ribosomal RNA (443 nucleotides) under uncultured bacterium. RNAcentral describes it as "partial 16S ribosomal RNA". It matches the Rfam family "Bacterial small subunit ribosomal RNA", at positions 338 to 795 of the family's 1533-position model. The record is from RNAcentral.
CCUACGGGAGACAGCAGUGGGGAAUAUUGGGCAAUGGAGGCAACUCUGACCCAGCAACGCCGCGUGAAUGAUGAAGGUCUUCGGAUUGUAAAGUUCUGUGAUGGGGGAUGAACACAAUGACGGUACCCCAAUAGCAAGCCACGGCUAACUACGUGCCAGCAGCCGCGAUAAUACGUAGGUGGCAAGCGUUAUCCGGAAGGACUGGGCGUAAAGGUGGCGUAGGUGGUUUAGUAAGUUGGCGGUGUAAUUCCGGGGCUCAACCUCGGCGCUACCGCCAAAACUAUUAGACUAGAGGGCAGGAGGGGUAAGUGGAAUUGCUAGUGUAGCGGUGGAAGGCGUAGAUAUUAGGAGGAACAUCAGGGGCGAAGGCGACUUACUGGACUGUAACUGACACUGAGGCACGAAAGCGUGGGGAGCAAACAGGAUUAGAUACCCGAGUAGUC